RNAcentral lists this ribosomal RNA (486 nucleotides) under uncultured bacterium. RNAcentral describes it as "partial 16S ribosomal RNA". It matches the Rfam family "Bacterial small subunit ribosomal RNA", at positions 29 to 507 of the family's 1533-position model. The record is from RNAcentral.
AUUGAACGCUGGCGGCAUGCCUUACACAUGCAAGUCGAACGGCAGCACGGGUGCUUGCACCUGGUGGCGAGUGGCGAACGGGUGAGUAAUACAUCGGAACAUGUCCUUUAGUGGGGGAUAGCCCGGCGAAAGCCGGAUUAAUACCGCAUACGAUCUACGGAUGAAAGGGGGGGACCUUCGGGCCUCGCGCUGUUGGGUUGGCCGAGGGCUGUUUAGCUAGUUUGGGGGGGAAAGGCCUACCAAGGCGACGAUAAGGAUCUGGUCUGAGAGGACGAGCAGCCACACUGGGACUGAGACACGGCCCAGACUCCUACGGGAGGCAGCAGUGGGGAAUUUUGGACAAUGGGCGAAAGCCUGAUCCAGCAAUGCCGCGUGUGUGAAGAAGGCCUUCGGGUUGUAAAGCACUUCUGUCCGGAAAGAAAUCCUUGGCCCUAAUACGGUCGGGGGAUGACGGUACCGGAAGAAUAAGCACCGGCUAACUACGUG